This 117-nucleotide ribosomal RNA is filed under the name Pteropus alecto (black flying fox). The record is from RNAcentral. Lineage: Eukaryota; Metazoa; Chordata; Mammalia; Chiroptera; Pteropodidae.
GUCUAAGGCCAUGCUACCCUGAACAAGCCCUAUCCUGUCUGGUCUCGGAAGCUAAGCAGGUGGGCCUGGUUAGUACUUAGAUGGGAGACCACCUAGGAAGACCAGGCGCUGUAAGCG